RNAcentral lists this transfer RNA (84 nucleotides) under Mycobacterium avium subsp. hominissuis. RNAcentral's name for it is "tRNA-Gly". Lineage: Bacteria; Bacillati; Actinomycetota; Actinomycetes; Mycobacteriales; Mycobacteriaceae. The record is from RNAcentral. RNAcentral also lists the same sequence under 2 other names.
GGCGCGCUGGUUCGUGGGGCGCGCGGGGCUGCCGCCCCGGCCGGGGGCUGGGGUUGGCGCUGGUUGGGCGCCGGCAGGCGCCGC